CACGUAGGGGGCGAGCGUUGUCCGGAUUUAUUGGGCGUAAAGGGCUCGUAGGCGGCUCAGUAGUCGGGUGUGAAACCUCCAGGCUCAACCUGGAGACGCCACCCGAUACUGCUGUGGCUAGAGUCCGGUAGGGGAGCAUGGAAUUCCUGGUGUAGCGGUGAAAUGCGCAGAUAUCAGGAGGAACACCAGUGGCGAAGGCGGUGCUCUGGGCCGGAACUGACGCUGAUGAGCGAAAGCGUGGGGAGCAAACAGG
This 253-nucleotide ribosomal RNA is filed under the name uncultured bacterium. RNAcentral describes it as "partial 16S ribosomal RNA". It matches the Rfam family "Bacterial small subunit ribosomal RNA", at positions 524 to 776 of the family's 1533-position model. The record is from RNAcentral.